GAUGAAGAACGUAGCGAAAUGCGAAAAGUAAUGUGAAUUGCAGAAUUCAGUGAACCAUCGAAUCUUUGAACGCACAUUGCGCCCGCUGGAACUCCGGCGGGCACGCCUGUCCGAGCGUCAUUUCAACCCUCAGGCCCCCCUUCGCGGGCGGGCCUGGUGUUGGGGCCCGGCCGCUACCCUGCGGCCGUCCCCUAAAUUCAGUGGGGGCCUCGCCGUGAUCCCUUGCGUAGUAAUGCACCUCGCACCGGAGAGCGCCGUGGCCACGCCGUAAAACCCCCAAUUUUCAAUGGUUGACCUCGGAUCAGGUGGGAAUACCCGCUGAACUUAAGCAUAUCAAUAAGCGGAGGA
Molecule: unclassified non-coding RNA, 348 nt
Filed under: soil metagenome
Description: partial contains 5.8S ribosomal RNA, internal transcribed spacer 2, and large subunit ribosomal RNA
Rfam family: 5.8S ribosomal RNA (bases 1-120)
Source: RNAcentral